UUAACUGAGAAUUUGAUCUUGGUUCAGACUGAACGCUGACGGCGUGGAUGAGACAUGCAAGUCGAACGAAAUAGUGAGCAAUCACUAUUUAGUGGCGGAAGGGUUAGUAAUGUAU
Molecule: ribosomal RNA, 115 nt
Filed under: Verrucomicrobiota bacterium
Lineage: Bacteria; Pseudomonadati; Verrucomicrobiota
Description: Verrucomicrobia bacterium (activated sludge metagenome) partial 16S ribosomal RNA
Rfam family: Bacterial small subunit ribosomal RNA
Source: RNAcentral